RNAcentral lists this ribosomal RNA (576 nucleotides) under uncultured bacterium. RNAcentral describes it as "bacterial SSU rRNA". It matches the Rfam family "Bacterial small subunit ribosomal RNA", at positions 102 to 674 of the family's 1533-position model. The record is from RNAcentral.
ACGGGUGAGUAAUACAUCGGAACGUAUCCUGGAGUGGGGGAUAGCCCGGCGAAAGCCGGAUUAAUACCGCAUACGCUCUGAGGAGGAAAGCGGGGGACCUUCGGGCCUCGCGCUCAAGGGGCGGCCGAUGGCGGAUUAGGUAGUUGGUGGGGUAAAGGCCUACCAAGCCGACGAUCCGUAGCUGGUCUGAGAGGACGACCAGCCACACUGGGACUGAGACACGGCCCAGACUCCUACGGGAGGCAGCAGUGGGGAAUUUUGGACAAUGGGGGCAACCCUGAUCCAGCAAUGCCGCGUGUGUGAAGAAGGCCUUCGGGUUGUAAAGCACUUUUGUCCGGAAAGAAAUCAUCGGGGCCAAUACCCCUGGUGGAUGACGGUACCGGAAGAAUAAGCACCGGCUAACUACGUGCCAGCAGCCGCGGUAAUACGUAGGGUGCGAGCGUUAAUCGGAAUUACUGGGCGUAAAGCGUGCGCAGGCGGUGCUGUAAGACCGAUGUGAAAUCCCCGGGCUUAACCUGGGAACUGCAUUGGUGACUGCAGCGCUGGAGUAUGGCAGAGGGGGGUGGAAUUCUACGU